GGCCCUACAAUAAAUAAAAAGCUACUCAAAAGAAGGGGAGGCAAGUCGUAACAUGGUAAGUGUACCGGAAGGUGCACUUGGAAUAUAUCAGAGUAUAGCU
Molecule: ribosomal RNA, 100 nt
Filed under: Melanotaenia lacustris (Lake Kutubu rainbowfish)
Lineage: Eukaryota; Metazoa; Chordata; Actinopteri; Atheriniformes; Melanotaeniidae
Description: partial 12S ribosomal RNA
Source: RNAcentral